This 28-nucleotide non-coding RNA is filed under the name Rattus norvegicus (Norway rat). Lineage: Eukaryota; Metazoa; Chordata; Mammalia; Rodentia; Muridae. The record is from RNAcentral.
UCUAUGUCUUUUUAACUAGAUUUUUUUU